UGUGUUGGGUUCCAUUAUUGUGUUGCUGUGUGGUUUCUUUGUUAUCACAGUUGUGUUUGGACCUGGAGGGUGGAAUUCUGAGGAUGUUGUGUUGCUAAUAUUGUGGUGUUUGGCCAUCUGUGUGCUUGUGUUUGGUUGAAGCCACAGGUCAGUGAAGGUCAGAGGUCAGCAGCCGUCCCCACCAACUGACCUGCCGGUCGUCCCUCGACGCUCCGCUAGCAGGGAUGCGGUUGCCAUGGCACCUGAGCUUCGCCUGGCUCCACUGAUGUUUACCUUGUUCCUUCCAUCACACACCCCCUCGCCCCCCCCAGAGGUACCACGGCGCUGUGCCGGAACAUAAUCUGUACAACCUUGGCGGUGACGAGUCACUUCAAUCCUGCUGGUCGCCAUGACAACAGGUACCAGGCAGAUCAGUGAGCCGCGUCGCUGGUGUUCAUCAUCUCCAUCUCUCCACACCUGCCCCUGCUCUCGAUUCGCUCCCAUAUUUGUGGCAGAGGAGAUUACUGCAGUUUCAAAUGUGUCUGGAAGACACUUCCUGUUCCAAAAUAAAAGCUCAUCUUUGUUUUAGUUGACUCAAGUCGGCUGUACAGCGCAUCCCAAUCUUGGGAAUAGAUGUCACUUACGGUGUCCCACAAGGUUCCGUCAUGGGUCCAUCCUUGUUUUUACCCUUCACCUUCAACUCAUGGCAACAACACCAAACACUUUCUCUUCAGUCUCGUCGCCUCCACAUCUGCUCAUAUCUAUAUCAUUAUAUUUCAUGUGUUUGGGUUGUUUUUUUUAUUAAAAUAGUUUAGUUUUUUCCAAUGUAUAUGAUAAAUAAUGUCAAUCUUAAGGAUGGAAUUCUUAGAUUUUAAAAAGGCAUCUCUAAUUUCUUUUCAAACAUUUGUUUUAUUCCAUUUUAAAAUGUAUGUAAAACAGCAAACUAAAAUAUUAUCAUAGAUUAAUCAAGUGUAGCGUCCCGGAAAUCAAAUCUAAACAUUUACAAACAUGAUUUACAAUCCCAUCCAGUUGAGACUAACUCGGAGAUAAUGAACACACAAAGGCAGCAAAGCCGUGUUCAUUUUCGCACUUGACUGAACUCGUGCACAGAUAAUGGGACCCAGCCUCGUCCUGGCUGCUGGUCUCUACCUUAAUCUCUUUUUAAAUAAUGCAGGGAGUGUGUGGCUCCGCGUGUCCGUGUCUGAGCUCGGUCACAUUAAUCCUGCGAGUCAGAGCCGAGUCAGAGGCACGAGAGUGCCUGCAAUUAACCAAGUCACAAACCUGCUUGGCUCUGACUCCAGCCGAGCCCAGAUCCCAACCUGCCUCCCAGAUUAGAGUCAAAAUGGCCGCUGAUGAGAGCGCGAGCUGUCGGUUCACACGCCGCCGCCGUGUUCACUCGGCUGUGACCUCCUGACUUCAUUACAUUUCUAAAUAAAUGCUGAUUCGUGGCUUUUCUGCAGCAUUCCAUUCCUCAUUUCUGACAGAGCUUUCAUCCUGUUUGCUUCUUGGGUUGAUAUAUUACUCUGCGCUCCACACACAUGCACUUUUUUAAUCAGAAUAUUUUUCAUUUUGUACUUUUUUUUUUUUUCCCCUGAAAGCCAAACCAGGAACCUGAAACCAGGUCUUCUGGUUUUAUAAAUAAAACAGUGAACAAGCAUAUUUCUGUUUCACAUGUUUGAGGAGUUAAACUUUAAAAUUGUGUGUAAAAAUAAAACGAUAUUUAAAAUCAAACAACAAAAACAAAUUGUCUAAAUAAUAAGGACAUGAUGUCCGACUCUUUAGCAUGUUGGUAUUUAGCUCCCUGUUAGCAUCCACCACAUUCUUUUUCCUCGUCGAGUCAGGCUCUUAAAAACACAAGUACAUGUGUAAGAAAGUACUGAAAUCUGGAUCCGGGAUUAUUAAAAGGGCCAGUAGCUAAGAUGCUAAAGGUGCUAACAAAGAAUGGGCGGCUUGUUUAGCAGGCUCAAAAAACACCUUCUAUCACCCUAAAAAGCAGAGUGAGUCUGUGCGCCAGCUGCUGUUCUCGGGAGUUUUCCCUCCGUUUCUGUGGAUUCUGGAGUCCAUUUUGUCUCAUCUGGGUCCAGCAUCCAGGAAGCAGCAGGUGGGAGGAAAUAAGAGCUUCCAGUCUGAUUCGAGCGAAUUCUUCCUUCAGUUCUGAUGCCGACACGACAGGCAGCGAUCUUCGAGCGAGGCGCGUCGAUGGAGGAAAUGAGGUUAUCUAAAAUGAUCAUCAUCGCUGGCGGAAGGGUCACGUUGAAGACGUGAAAUUCUGCCUUAUUUAGAGCCGAUGGAGGUAGACAUAUCGUAGUCUGAAGUCGUGGUGAAGUCGCCCCCCUGAGCCACUUGGUUACCCAUCGAUGGUGCAUACUUAGACACUGCUAUCCACCUUAGCGGUGGUGGGGGUUUUUUUUCAGGACAUUGAGGUCUGAACUCAGGGGGGCGUUUCAGCUCGAGAAACUUCCAGCUCCUUGUAAGAUCGGAACACGACGUGUACCAACCAAGUGCAACAGAGUAGUCGUGGCCAGGAACAAGGCUCCCAAACUGGGAGUCUGUCAGUCCCACAUCAUGGAAAAGGCCCUGGUCUGAGCCCCUAGAAGACUGUCGAUACAGGUUCAGAGAAGGUUGGACACUGCUCUGGACUGGUGGGUGGAGGCCCGGGGCAGAUCCAGAACACUCUGGCCAGGUCCAAAAAAAGUUCCACAGAGGCGGUGACACGUGAAAAUGCUCCGUUCACACCUGAAACAAACUCCGUCUCCGCCCGAGAGAGCGAUCCGCUCGCCAGGAUAAAUGGGACCACUCUCCUCCGCCCACGGCUUUUGCAUCUUCUCUCUGUCCUCAUUUUGAGUCAGUGGAGGACAAAAUGUUUUGUGCGGCGUCUGAAACACAGAUGGCGGCGAGCUCUGCCCGAGCCGUCGCUCACCAACAGGUUAGCAUGCCAAGCACACCAGCGAGGAACUGUCACAGUACACCAGUCCGCCUGGCACACGCUGCUGCCGUCUGACUGCAGGAAGAUAAAGAGCUCAGAGGCUGCGCGCAAUAAUAAUCCCGCGCUCGCCGUUGAUAUUUGCGCCGCAUUACACGCCUUUGUUCGGGACUUCCUUCCUGCUGUCUUGAAUUUAGGGCACGCGGAUGGUUACUCUUGAUGUCUGGUGACUAGCUGCACCCGAAAACAUGCUGGAGUGUGUGACCCUCAGGAGGAGGAGGAGCGUAGAAACAAGACGCCAUCAAAAGGGCUCAGGAGCGGAGGCACAUCACAGGUGACUUCCAAGUGGAAACCUGGAGGUGAAGUUUCCCUUGUGGGGAUCGAAAGGAGACAAAGUGAAGACAGUGGCAGAUCAUUACCGUCUGACGCGCCGGUGCAACUCCUCUCAGGCUUUUGAUGUUUCCGUGCUGCGGCGCCACAUCUUAUCAGUUAUCGCAGGUUGGAAUUUGCAUUCGCAGCUUAGCGUUUUAUCUCGUGGGUCCAGAGGAUCGCGGCGGUAAAUAAUGAGCCCCUCAGAUGAAUCAGAACCGGCAUGAAAGAUUCGGGAGCCGCACAGCGGGAACAGAGGAUGGGACACGGGUCAUGUCACGCCUUGACUUCAGGGAGGCACAGAAGAAAGGGGCGACUCCGGUUUCCUCCCACAGGAAAACAAGGGGGAGGUCCUCCAGUCACACCUUCAUGCCCUCCGUCCUCAUC
Molecule: long non-coding RNA, 3658 nt
Organism: Synchiropus splendidus (mandarinfish)
Lineage: Eukaryota; Metazoa; Chordata; Actinopteri; Syngnathiformes; Callionymidae
Exons: 3
Source: RefSeq, a predicted model, not a curated record